Molecule: long non-coding RNA, 2551 nt
Organism: Oreochromis niloticus (Nile tilapia)
Lineage: Eukaryota; Metazoa; Chordata; Actinopteri; Cichliformes; Cichlidae
Source: Ensembl
CACAGACGGAAAAGGGGGGUAUCACUGAUCCGGGCUCCUUAAAAUCAUACAGUAGGCUCAUAAUGUGGCCCGCAAUGUAAACCGAGUUUAACAUCCCUGCCCUAGUUUAAGUUUAUGUGAGUUUGCUUUGUUUUUGGGACUUUAGCUCUGGCCCUACACGGCAGCCAGGGCUUCUUCCAUGUAUGUAGGGCCUAGUUGUCAGGGCAGCCAGCAAGCGGCGCUUCAGCCCCAGCUGAACUGUCGGUGCGGCUAUCGCUGGAAGUGUCCACAGAGGAUCGAGUUACUCAACGCCCCAUCUUUAAGCCCCAGUCAGUGCGCCGUUAGCCGCAGGACAACAGAGGAUAGCUCAAGAUACUGGCCGCCGGGGAAGCAGAGCGUCCACACUCAUGCCUUGAUGAAGGGAAGGCUACACAUUCAUCCGACGCUCUAAAAAUGAUAGAAACAAUGGGUAAGUAUUUGGUUUUUUAAAUUGUUUUAUGCCAGGCAUCUAUAAAAUAUUCAUGAUUUCAUCCAUGAUUGAACCAGCUUUAGGGUUGAGUGUGGUCAUGAUAGCAGACUUCUGAAUCCAGUACCAGUACUCGGUUUAAUUAAGAUUCAACACUGCCAUAAUCAAAAAAAGAGAAAAUCUUCCUUUUAAAAUGAGCAGUUUUUGCACGGGGGCUUGGGUGUCCGUCUUUGCUGGCUGUGCUUUGCACAUUUGGCUUAAGCUGAGAGUUUUCUCAACCAGCGUAAGAGGCCCUGGAUUCAGUUCAAUGUCCGUGGGCUGCCAAUGUUGCCAUAUCUGAUAAUGUUGCCAUAAAUUUGAUUGUUUGUUUGUGCCCAUAGAGAUUUAUUUGCCCAACUGUCAAGCAUGAUGCCAAAUUGGUGCUGCCAGCUUCUUUCUUUAAAACAGCAAUCUGUGGUCACUCUCAGGACGGGAAUGUUGACUGUGUGUUUGUCAGCUGCAAAUGAUGAACUGUGAUGAAUACGUGUGCUCCAGGCGCUGCUCUGCUGGAAAAACUGAUAACACCAAUUCUAAAUUACCCUAAGCAUCUUUUCUGCGUUAUUAUUAAAAACCAAAAUCAGAGUUUUCAUAUAGCUCCAGAUCCUUAAUAAGUCAAUUUUGGCUGAAAAUACAGAUUUAUUGGUUGGGUUCCACAAAAAAAGAAGCUUGUUUUAAAGUCUUUCAACUCUUUAUCACUCUACAGUUAAACAUUUAGUCAGCUCAUUAUUCCUGCCAUUGGUAAAUGUCAUCUUCUUUCCCAGUAGGUCUAUGGCAAUUAGCACAUUUGGCUGAUAUAUCUGUGACUCCUUAUGCUUUGCUCAAGGACCACCUUUUCUUCUGCAAACUCACACAUAGUUAGGUCCUUAGGUUUUUGGACGGUGACGCAUUAUUUGUGAUUUUGCCUCUGUACACAGUCACAGUGGAUUUCUAAUUAAAUUAGUCAAGAUGUGACUGAAGUGCAGACUUUUAACUUUAAUUCAAGGGGUUUUGCAACAGUUUUGCAUUAACUGUUUAGGAAUCACCGUCAUUUUUAUACAUAGCACCCCAUUUUCAGACGUUCAAAUGUUGCUGGACAUUUGACUGACAAACAGUUUCAUUGGCAGGUGAGGUUGAUUCCCUCAUUACUCAUUUAUGAGGGAAGUAACGAGUCCAAAUGUUGAACUUUAUGCCAGCAUUAGCAGUUCAAUAGACCUCUCAGGCUGAGGUUUUAAAGAGAUAAUGAUGCAAGGGACACCGUCAUUAAGCUGAAAAACCCAAAUAAACCUCUCUGAGAGUUUGUCAGUCUGGUGCAUUCAACAUCGAAAGGCUCGAAAGAAAACUAAAGUGGAUAGUGACAGAAUUACUUCAACGACUAAUCAAAACAACUUUGCAACAAAAUAUAACCAAGUCAAGACAACACUCAAGGAUGUAGGCAUAUCAUACAAUCAAGAGAUGCCUUCAUGGAUGUAAAUAUAGAGCGUCUGGAACAAGAUACAAACUACUGGUUACACCCAAGACCAGGAAAGACAGAUUAGACAUUGACUAGACCAGAAAUAAUUGAAAAGAGCUGGCACAUUUCUGAAAAAAAAGUCUUUUGAGAGAUGAAACCAAGGUUAACUUAAACCAGAAUUAUGGGAAGAGAGAAGCAUAGAGAAGGCGAGAAACAGUUCACGAUCCAAAGCAUACCACAUCAUCUGUUAAACAUGGUGGAGGAAAAAUAUUCUAUGGGCAUGUAAGGCUGCUAGUAGACCUAGGUCACGGGUGUUUAUUGUUGAUGUGGCUGCUGGUAGAAGCAGCAGGAUACAUUCUGAAGUAUAAAAAGCUAUACACUACUCAGAUUCAGCCAAAUGCUGCAAAACUGGUUGGAUGGUGCGUCAGAGUGUAAGUGGAAAAUGACCCAAAGCAUACUACAGAAUCAAUUUAAUGAACAUGUCAGUGACGUGAUCUUCAGCAGAGCAUGCUUUUCAGUUACUAAAGACAAAACUAAUUGCAGCAAAGGGCUGCAAACAAGCAGCAACUGAAUGUGACUGCAGUAAACACCUAGCAGCAUCUACAGGGGUGAAAAACAGCAUUAACUUGUGCUCAUGG